GACGUAGGAGGCGAGCGUUGUCCGGAGUCACUGGGCGUAAAGGGCGCGCAGGCGGUUGCGUUGGCCAUCACGUGAAAGCCCCCGGCUCAACCGGGUGGUGGCGGGUGGGACCGCGCGACUGGAGGGUGGCAGGGGCCAGCGGAAUUCCCGGUGUAGUGGUGAAAUGCGUAGAUACCGGAGGAACACCCGCAGCGAAGGCGGCUGGCUGGGCCACUCCUGACGCUGAGGCGCGAAGGCCCGGGGAGCGAACGGG
Molecule: ribosomal RNA, 253 nt
Filed under: uncultured bacterium
Lineage: Bacteria
Description: partial 16S ribosomal RNA
Rfam family: Bacterial small subunit ribosomal RNA
Source: RNAcentral